This 381-nucleotide ribosomal RNA is filed under the name uncultured eukaryote. RNAcentral describes it as "partial 18S ribosomal RNA". It matches the Rfam family "Eukaryotic small subunit ribosomal RNA", at positions 592 to 976 of the family's 1831-position model. The record is from RNAcentral.
CAAUAGCGUAUAUUAAAGUUGUUGCGGUAAAAAAGCUCGUAGUUGGAUUUCUACCGAAGAUAGCCGGUCGGGUCUUCGACCUUGUAUCUGGUUUUGUCUUUGGUAUCCUCAUAGGGAACGUUUCUGCGCUUUAUUGCGUGGUGCGGUAUCUAUGACUUUUACUUUGAGGAAAUUAGAGUGUUCACGGCAGGCAAACGCCUUGAAUAUAUUAGCAUGGAAUAAUAACAUAGGAUCUUCGUCCUAUUUUGUUGGUUCCUAGGGCUAAGAUAAUGAUUAAUAGGGAUAAUUGGGGGCAUCUGUAUCAACGCGUCAGAGGUGGAAUUCUUGGAUUGCGUUGCGACAAACUACUGCGAAAGCAUUUGCCAAGGAUGUUUUCAUUGA